GAUGAACGCUGGCGGCGUGCCUAAUACUGCAAGUCGAGCGAACGGACGAGAAGCUUGCUUCUCUGGUGUUAGCGGCGGACGGGUGAGGAACCAGUGGAUAACCUACCUAUAAGACUGGGAUAACUUCGGGAAACCGGAGCCAAUACCGGAUAAAAUUUUGAACCGCAUGGGUCAAAAGUGAAAGACGGUCUUGCUGGCACUUAUAGAUGGAACCGCGCUGCAUUAGCUAGUUGGUAAGGUAACGGCUUACCAAGGCAACGAUGCAUAGCCGACCUGAGAGGGUGAUCGGCCACACUGGAACUGAGACACGGUCCAGACUCCUACGGGAGGCAGCAGUAGGGAAUCUUCCGCAAUGGGCGAAAGCCUGACGGAGCAACGCCGCGUGAGUGAUGAAGGUCUUCGGAUCGUAAAACUCUGUUAUUAGGGAAGAACAUAUGUGUAAGUAACUGUGCACAUCUUGACGGUACCUAAUCAGAAAGCCACGGCUAACUACGUG
This 496-nucleotide ribosomal RNA is filed under the name uncultured bacterium. RNAcentral's name for it is "partial 16S ribosomal RNA". It matches the Rfam family "Bacterial small subunit ribosomal RNA", at positions 28 to 507 of the family's 1533-position model. The record is from RNAcentral.